UAUUUUACAAAGAGCCCUAGGGUUGAAGAAGGUCCCAAGGGUUCGGUUGUUCGCUAAUUCAAGUGGUACGUGAGUUGGGUUUAGAACGUCAUGAGGCAGUUC
RNAcentral lists this non-coding RNA (102 nucleotides) under Cephalotus follicularis. The record is from Rfam by way of RNAcentral. Lineage: Eukaryota; Viridiplantae; Streptophyta; Magnoliopsida; Oxalidales; Cephalotaceae.